GACGAACGCUGGCGGCGUGGAUUAGGCAUGCAAGUCGAACGGUAUCAUCCUUUCGGGGGUGAGAGAGUGGCGAACUGGUGAGUAACACGUAGGUUAUCUACCCUCAAGACGGGGACAACCCAGGGAAACUUGGGCUAAUACCGGAUGUGAGCAACUUUUAGUUGUUUGAAAGGUGGCGUAAGCUGUCGCUUGGGGAUGAGCCUGCGUCCUAUUAGUUAGUUGGUGAGGUAACGGCUCACCUAGGCAAUGAUAGGUAGGCGGCCUUAACGGGUGGUCGCCCACACUGGGAUUGAGAUACGGCCCAGACUCCUACGGGAGGCAGCAGUCGAGAAUAGUCUACAAUGGUCGGAAGACUGAUAGUGCGACGCCGCGUGAACGAUGAAUCCCUUCGGGGUGUAAAGUUCUUUUAUAUGUGAGCAGUGCUUCUUAUAUUAACAGUAUGGGGAAGAGAUAUUAGCAUAUGAAUAAGCAACGGCUAACUCCGUGCCAGCAGCCGGGUAAAACG
RNAcentral lists this ribosomal RNA (505 nucleotides) under uncultured bacterium. RNAcentral describes it as "bacterial SSU rRNA". It matches the Rfam family "Bacterial small subunit ribosomal RNA", at positions 28 to 527 of the family's 1533-position model. The record is from RNAcentral.